CUGGUACAUUAUCAGAAUAUGUAAAUGAACGCCAUACUGCGCCGUGGAAGGUUCGAUUUUACCCCAAAAAAUCGGUGUUCAGAAAAUCAGAACUCAUUGAUAGAGGAUGUACUAUUUUUCUUACUGACUGCCCAAGUAAUUAUAAAAAGAAAUUGGUCUGCGCUCGUCACUACGAUGGUGAACUCAAAACUUUUACAAAUUAUUGUGCAUUAGAAUAUGAAAACUGUAACAGCUGGAGAAAAUGGAGUUUGAUCAAAGAAACUAGGUGUUAAUAAUAAAUAAAAAAAAACAAACCAAAAAUUGACAC
Papilio xuthus (Asian swallowtail) is the source of this 307-nucleotide long non-coding RNA. RefSeq lists it as uncharacterized. Lineage: Eukaryota; Metazoa; Arthropoda; Insecta; Lepidoptera; Papilionidae. The record is from RefSeq and is a predicted model, not a curated record. The transcript is spliced from 3 exons.